UAAAAUAAUGGUUCUCCAAGUUGAGUUUUGAAUCAUUCUUAUGGUUUAAAAUUCCUUGGAGAAUUCCAAUCACCCUUUGUGCACUGUAAAUGUUUUUUCGAGUACUUUUAAGUACUCGACCAUAUUUAAAACCCUAUUUUAAUUUUGUCUGAAUUUUUAUGAAAAUAAAAAAAUA
Molecule: unclassified non-coding RNA, 175 nt
Filed under: uncultured fungus
Lineage: Eukaryota; Fungi
Description: sequence contains ITS1
Source: RNAcentral